Molecule: ribosomal RNA, 519 nt
Filed under: Ferdinandcohnia humi
Lineage: Bacteria; Bacillati; Bacillota; Bacilli; Caryophanales; Bacillaceae
Description: bacterial SSU rRNA
Rfam family: Bacterial small subunit ribosomal RNA
Source: RNAcentral
CCUGGGGAGUACGGUCGCAAGACUGAAACUCAAAGGAAUUGACGGGGGCCCGCACAAGCGGUGGAGCAUGUGGUUUAAUUUGAAGCAACGCGAAGAACCUUACCAGGUCUUGACAUCCCGUGACAACUCUAGAGAUAGGGCUUUCCCCUUCGGGGGACACGGUGACAGGUGGUGCAUGGUUGUCGUCAGCUCGUGUCGUGAGAUGUUGGGUUAAGUCCCGCAACGAGCGCAACCCUUGAUCUUAGUUGCCAGCAUUAAGUUGGGCACUCUAAGGUGACUGCCGGUGACAAACCGGAGGAAGGUGGGGAUGACGUCAAAUCAUCAUGCCCCUUAUGACCUGGGCUACACACGUGCUACAAUGGAUGGUACAAAGGGCAGCAAAACCGCGAGGUUAAGCCAAUCCCAUAAAACCAUUCUCAGUUCGGAUUGCAGGCUGCAACUCGCCUGCAUGAAGCCGGAAUCGCUAGUAAUCGCGGAUCAGCAUGCCGCGGUGAAUACGUUCCCGGGCCUUGUACACAC